AGCGAACGCUGGCGGCAGGCCUAACACAUGCAAGUCGAACGAACCUUUCGGGGCUAGUGGCGGACGGGUGAGUAACACGUGGGAACGUGCCUUUAGGUUCGGAAUAACUCAGGGAAACUUGUGCUAAUACCGAAUGUGCCCUUCGGGGGAAAGAUUAAUCGCCUUUAGAGCGGCCCGCGUCUGAUUAGCUAGUUGGUUGAGGUAAUGGCUCACCAAGGCGACGAUCAGUAGCUGGUCUGAGAGGAUGAUCAGCCACAUUGGGACUGAGACACGGCCCAAACUCCUACGGGAGGCAGCAGUGGGGAAUCUUGCGCAAUGGGCGAAAGCCUGACGCAGCCAUGCCGCGUGAAUGAUGAAGGUCUUAGGAUUGUAAAAUUCUUUCACCGGGGACGAUAAUGACGGUACCCGGAGAAGAAGCCCCGGCUAACUUCGUG
RNAcentral lists this ribosomal RNA (434 nucleotides) under uncultured bacterium. Its description in RNAcentral is "partial 16S ribosomal RNA". It matches the Rfam family "Bacterial small subunit ribosomal RNA", at positions 29 to 507 of the family's 1533-position model. The record is from RNAcentral.